GUAAGGAAUAUUGGGCAAUGGACGAAAGUCUGACCCAGCCAUGCCGCGUGAAGGAUGAAGGUCCUCUGGAUUGUAAACUUCUUUUAUCUGGGGCGAAAAUCGGGUAUUCUUAUCCGCUUGACAGUACCAGAUGAAUAAGCACCGGCUAACUCCGUGCCAGCAGCCGCGGUAAUACGGAGGGUGCAAGCGUUAUCCGGAUUCACUGGGUUUAAAGGGUGCGUAGGUGGGCAGGUAAGUCAGUGGUGAAAUCCCCGAGCUUAACUUGGGAACUGCCGUUGAUACUAUCUGUCUUGAAUACUGCGGAGGUAAGCGGAAUAUGUCAUGUAGCGGUGAAAUGCUUAGAGAUGACAUAGAACACCAAUUGCGAAGGCAGCUUGCUACACAGUAAUUGACGCUGAGGCACGAAAGCGUGGGGAGCAAACAGGAUUAGAAACCCGUGUAGUCC
RNAcentral lists this ribosomal RNA (445 nucleotides) under uncultured bacterium. Its description in RNAcentral is "bacterial SSU rRNA". It matches the Rfam family "Bacterial small subunit ribosomal RNA", at positions 354 to 796 of the family's 1533-position model. The record is from RNAcentral.